Molecule: transfer RNA, 65 nt
Filed under: Chaetobranchopsis bitaeniatus
Lineage: Eukaryota; Metazoa; Chordata; Actinopteri; Cichliformes; Cichlidae
Description: tRNA-Cys
Source: RNAcentral
GCCCUGAGGUGUUGGACAUAUUGGAUUGCAAAUCCAAAGAGGCAGGCUAAUACCUGCCGGGGCUU